UAAUACUGGAUAGAUCAAAGAUACUGGAAUGUUCCUUGAUCCAAAGCUCCGGCGUCCAAGGAUGGAUCUGCGGCCUAUCAGGUAGUAGUGGGUGUAACGUACCUACUAGCCUACGACGGGUACGGGUUGUGAGAGCAAGAGCCCGGAGAUGGAUUCUGAGACAUGAAUCCAGGCCCUACGGGGCGCAGCAGGCGCGAAAUCUUUACAAUGCAGGAAACUGCGAUAAGGGGACCCCGAGUGCCAGCAUCUAAUGCUGGCUGUCCAGCUGUGUAAAUAGCAGUUGUUAGCAAGGGCCGGGCAAGACCGGUGCCAGCCGCCGCGGUAACACCGGCGGCCCGAGUGGUAACCGAUUUUAUUGGGUUUAAAGGGUCCGUAGCCGGCCUGUUAAGUCUCUUGGGAAAUCUGGCGGCUCAAUCGUCAGGCGUUC
This 427-nucleotide ribosomal RNA is filed under the name uncultured archaeon. RNAcentral describes it as "bacterial SSU rRNA". It matches the Rfam family "Archaeal small subunit ribosomal RNA", at positions 147 to 575 of the family's 1478-position model. The record is from RNAcentral.